CGGAAGGAGGAGAAGCAAACACUAUACCAUAACUAAAACAAUCAUUAUUUGCACCAGUAUAUUCAAGUAUGGAUUUAGUCAUGGCACUAUGAACUCAUGGUAAGGCAGAACUAUGAGGAUUUUCAUUUUUUUCUUGGCUUAACAUGUGAACUUUAUUUAUGUAUGUGUGUGUAUUAUCUUUAAUCCAAAAAAAAAAAAUGUUCAGAAUACAUACACUUGUUUUCAACAUUUUCUACGUUAGAAGGAAAAAAAUUUAAUUUUUGUAGCGAAAUAAAUCUGUAGAGAUAUGUAGAACAAGAUUUUAAAAAGAAAGUAUGAACUUAUAUUUAGAUUUCGCUUUUUUAAAUUAUUUAUUCAAAAUCUGUUGCAGGCCGUUCACAUGCGGCGCAAAAAGGCAACAAAUAUAUGGGGCCGUGUUUUUUGGCAAAACCUGUCCACAACCACCGCAGAAAUUAUCCCAAUUCUGUUGGUAGUGCAUCCCAUAAUUGGUCCUCAAAUGGAUUUGCUCAGUUUUCCUGGGUUUUUAGUGAGGAUGGUGAGGAUGCUUCGAGAUUUCAAUUUGCUUGUAAUUUCUGCGGGGUGUGUAGUCCGGGUGGCGAUGGGAUCAAAAUGCCGGAAAUGGUUUGUUAGGGUUCGCUACGUACGAAAUUAGGCUCGAACAGGGUUGAGUAAAAGAGUAUUAUAAAGGUAGUAAAUGACAGGGUGACUCAGGCUAAGAAGUGACUAGGCAGCCCUAUGAUUGCUGAGUAGGUGGGAACCUACUAUAAAUAUGAUAAAAAUUUUGUUUAGACACAAUUUGAAUGAAUGAUUAUGAAAAAAAAAAGCGGCACGUUGAAAUAAAAAUUUAAGAAAUAUCAGAAGAAUAGAAAAACAAAAGAUUUCGAGAGAAAUAAUUAAAAUGUUUUUGCUGAUGUCUCGCUGCCGUAUAAGGUUAAAGGAAAUUGGCGUUGUUUGGGGUAAUUGGCGAGUUGGUAACGUAAGUGAAAAGGGUUGGGCGAAUAGUUAGACAGCCGUUGAUUUUUAAAUGAGAGACUCAGGGGUGAGGUGAAAUGAGAAUUCACAAUAAAAAAAAAAAAAUGGCUAUUGACAGUUGAAAAGAAAAAGGAAUGAAAAUUGAAAAUGGUUCAGGAAAAUGGUGUUUCGUGGAAAAUGAGCGUCUGGCGGGAUUCACUGAGAAGAGGGGUAUAAAAGGCUGCGAGCAUAAGAAAAGCCAAAGUUAAGAAUAAGACGUUACCGGUGAAACUUAGCUAGAGAGCAGUGAAGAAGUGGAAAAAUUUAAUUUGUGUGUUGCGAUUUUUUUUUAUUGUGAAUAUUCCGGUGGUGUAUCAAGCCUUUUUUGGAAGCACCGAAAAUUGUCCGGUUUUGGUCAGCACAACGGCGGGAAAUUGCCUUUUCUUUUUGGUAACGCAAGGUAGUGGCAAGUUGUCCACAGGAAAAAAAAGCCAAAAAAGUUACAUUGAGGGUGUGGAGAUUUGAAUUGUAAACUGGC
Molecule: long non-coding RNA, 1489 nt
Organism: Musca domestica (house fly)
Lineage: Eukaryota; Metazoa; Arthropoda; Insecta; Diptera; Muscidae
Exons: 3
Source: RefSeq, a predicted model, not a curated record